GACGAACGCUGGCGGCGUGCUUAACACAUGCAAGUCGAACGGUGAACGAGGGAGCUUGCUCCCUCCGGAUCAGUGGCGAACGGGUGAGUAACACGUGAGCAAUCUGCCCCGAACUCUGGGAUAAGCGUUGGAAACGACGUCUAAUACCGGAUACGACGCGGGAGGGCAUCCUCUCCGCGUGGAAAGAACUUCGGUUCGGGAUGAGCUCGCGGCCUAUCAGCUUGUUGGUGAGGUAACGGCUCACCAAGGCGACGACGGGUAGCCGGCCUGCGAGGGUGACCGGCCACACUGGGACUGAGACACGGCCCAGACUCCUACGGGAGGCAGCAGUGGGGAAUAUUGCACAAUGGGCGCAAGCCUGAUGCAGCAGCGCCGCGUGAGGGACGACGGCCUUCGGGUUGUAAACCUCUUUUAGCAGGGAAGAAGCGAAAGUGACGGUACCUGCAGAAAAAGCACCGGCUAACUACGUG
Molecule: ribosomal RNA, 470 nt
Filed under: uncultured bacterium
Lineage: Bacteria
Description: partial 16S ribosomal RNA
Rfam family: Bacterial small subunit ribosomal RNA
Source: RNAcentral